This 368-nucleotide ribosomal RNA is filed under the name Escherichia coli. RNAcentral's name for it is "bacterial LSU rRNA". It matches the Rfam family "Bacterial large subunit ribosomal RNA", at positions 2575 to 2925 of the family's 2925-position model. Lineage: Bacteria; Pseudomonadati; Pseudomonadota; Gammaproteobacteria; Enterobacterales; Enterobacteriaceae. The record is from RNAcentral.
GGCUGUUCGCCAUUUAAAGUGGUACGCGAGCUGGGUUUAGAACGUCGUGAGACAGUUCGGUCCCUAUCUGCCGUGGGCGCUGGAGAAUUGAGGGGGGCUGCUCCUAGUACGAGAGGACCGGAGUGGACGCAUCACUGGUGUUCGGGUUGUCAUGCCAAUGGCACUGCCCGGUAGCUAAAUGCGGAAGAGAUAAGUGCUGAAAGCAUCUAAGCACGAAACUUGCCCCGAGAUGAGUUCUCCCUGACUCCUUGAGAGUCCUGAAGGAACGUUGAAGACGACGACGUUGAUAGGCCGGGUGUGUAAGCGCAGCGAUGCGUUGAGCUAACCGGUACUAAUGAACCGUGAGGCUUAACCUUACAACGCCGAAG